GAACGCUGGCGGCGUGCUUAACACAUGCAAGUCGAACGGAAAGGCCCUGCUUUUGUGGGGUGCUCGAGUGGCGAACGGGUGAGUAACACGUGAGUAACCUGCCCUUGACUUUGGGAUAACUUCAGGAAACUGGGGCUAAUACCGGAUAGGAGCUCCUGCUGCAUGGUGGGGGUUGGAAAGUUUCGGCGGUUGGGGAUGGACUCGCGGCUUAUCAGCUUGUUGGUGGGGUAGUGGCUUACCAAGGCUUUGACGGGUAGCCGGCCUGAGAGGGUGACCGGCCACAUUGGGACUGAGAUACGGCCCAGACUCCUACGGGAGGCAGCAGUGGGGAAUAUUGCACAAUGGGCGGAAGCCUGAUGCAGCAACGCCGCGUGCGGGAUGACGGCCUUCGGGUUGUAAACCGCUUUCGCCUGUGACGAAGCGUGAGUGACGGUAAUGGGUAAAGAAGCACCGGCUAACUACGUGCCAGCAGCCGCGGUGAUACGUAGGGUGCGAGCGUUGUCCGGAUUUAUUGGGCGUAAAGGGCUCGUAGGUGGUUGAUCGCGUCGGAAGUGUAAUCUUGGGGCUUAACCCUGAGCGUGCUUUCGAUACGGGUUGACUUGAGGAAGGUAGGGGAGAAUGGAAUUCCUGGUGGAGCGGUGGAAUGCGCAGAUAUCAGGAGGAACACCAGUGGCGAAGGCGGUUCUCUGGGCCUUUCCUGACGCUGAGGAGCGAAAGCGUGGGGAGCGAACAGGCUUAGAUACCCUGGUAGUCCACGCUGUAAACGGUGGGUACUAGGUGUGGGGUCCAUUCCACGGGUUCCGUGCCGUAGCUAACGCUUUAAGUACCCCGCCUGGGGAGUACGGCCGCAAGGCUAAAACUCAAAGGAAUUGACGGGGCCCCGCACAAGCGGCGGAGCAUGCGGAUUAAUUCGAUGCAACGCGUAGAACCUUACCUGGGUUUGACAUGGAUCGGGAGUGCUCAGAGAUGGGUGUGCCUCUUUUGGGGUCGGUUCACAGGUGGUGCAUGCCUGUCGUCAGCUCGUGUCGUGAGAUGUUGGGUUAAGUCCCGCAACGAGCGCAACCCUUGUUCACUGUUGCCAGCACGUUAUGGUGGGGACUCAGUGGAGACCGCCGGGGUCAACUCGGAGGAAGGUGGGGAUGACGUCAAGUCCUCAUGCCCCUUAUGUCCAGGGCUUCACGCAUGCUACAAUGGCUGGUACAGAGAGUGGCGAGCCUGUGAGGGUGAGCGAAUCUCGGAAAGCCGGUCUCAGUUCGGAUUGGGGUCUGCAACUCGACCUCAUGAAGUCGGAGUCGCUAGUAAUCGCAGAUCAGCAACGCUGCGGUGAAUACGUUCCCGGGGCUUGUACACACCGCCCGUCAAGUCAUGAAAGUUGGUAACACCCGAAGCCGGUGGCCUAACCGUUGUGGGGGAGCCGUCGAAGGUGGGACUGGUGAUUAGGACUAAGU
This 1448-nucleotide ribosomal RNA is filed under the name uncultured organism. RNAcentral's name for it is "16S ribosomal RNA". It matches the Rfam family "Bacterial small subunit ribosomal RNA". The record is from RNAcentral.